UUGAUUUUUUGCCUGUUUAAUUCCAACUCAGUUGUGUCUUCUGGAUCCUGAAUUCUGAGAAGGUUGUAAUUAGGACUAACAGUAUGAAAACAGGCAAGUUUGCUUGAACCUGCUUCCAGAAGAAGAUCCACUGGCAAACUGAACGUGUAAUGUCCUUGCUGAUGAGGCCCAUGCUUUUCUGGUAGACUAGCUGAUAAUGUGUUUUAGUAGAAACUGUGUAAGGUUUCCAAUGUAAUGCAUUUAUU
This 245-nucleotide long non-coding RNA is filed under the name Anser brachyrhynchus (Pink-footed goose). Its description in RNAcentral is "lncRNA (ENSABRG00000013973.1)". Lineage: Eukaryota; Metazoa; Chordata; Aves; Anseriformes; Anatidae. The record is from RNAcentral.